CGCUGGCGGCAGGCCUAACACAUGCAAGUCGAGCGCGCCUUCGGGUGAGCGGCGGACGGGUUAGUAACGCGUGGGAACGUGCCCUUCUCUACGGAAUAGCCUCUGGAAACGGAGAGUAAUACCGUAUACGCCCUUUGGGGGAAAGAUUUAUCGGAGAAGGAUCGGCCCGCGUUAGAUUAGGUAGUUGGUGGGGUAACGGCCUACCAAGCCUACGAUCUAUAGCUGGUUUUAGAGGAUGAUCAGCAACACUGGGACUGAGACACGGCCCAGACUCCUACGGGAGGCAGCAGUGGGGAAUCUUAGACAAUGGGGGCAACCCUGAUCUAGCCAUGCCGCGUGAGUGAUGAANGCCUUANGGUCGUAAAGCUCUUUCGCCUGUGAUGAUAAUGACAGUAGCAGGUAAAGAAAACCCCGGCUAACUCCGUGCCAGCAGCCGCGGUAAUACGAGGGGGUUAGCGUUGAAGCCGAAUU
Molecule: ribosomal RNA, 471 nt
Filed under: uncultured Paracoccaceae bacterium
Lineage: Bacteria; Pseudomonadati; Pseudomonadota; Alphaproteobacteria; Rhodobacterales; Paracoccaceae
Description: bacterial SSU rRNA
Rfam family: Bacterial small subunit ribosomal RNA
Source: RNAcentral